Molecule: ribosomal RNA, 253 nt
Filed under: uncultured bacterium
Lineage: Bacteria
Description: partial 16S ribosomal RNA
Rfam family: Bacterial small subunit ribosomal RNA
Source: RNAcentral
UACGUAGGGUCCAAGCGUUAUCCGGAAUCACUGGGCGUAAAGCGUGCGUAGGCGGCGUGUUAAGUGUGGUGUUAAAUCGUGGGGCUCAACCCUAUCGAUGCAUCGCAUACUGGCAUGCUAGAGGAAGGCAGAGGCAAGUGGAAUUUGUAGUGUAGCAGUGAAAUGCGUAGAUAUUACAAGGAACACCAAUGGCGAAGGCAGCUUGCUGGGCCUUUUCUGGCGCUGAGGUACGAAAGCGUGGGGAGCGAACAGG